This 72-nucleotide transfer RNA is filed under the name Neotoma lepida (desert woodrat). It matches the Rfam family "tRNA". Rfam says of the family: Transfer RNA (tRNA) molecules are approximately 80 nucleotides in length. Their secondary structure includes four short double-helical elements and three loops (D, anti-codon, and T loops). The record is from Rfam by way of RNAcentral. Lineage: Eukaryota; Metazoa; Chordata; Mammalia; Rodentia; Cricetidae.
GGAAGUGUAGCUCAGCGGCAGAGCACAGGCUUAGCAUGUAUGAGACCCUGGGCUCAAACUCCAGCACUCCCC